UCGAGAAUUUUUCACAAUGGGCGCAAGCCUGAUGGAGCGACGCCGCGUGGGGGAUGAAGGGUUUCGAUCCGUAAACCCCUGUCAUUUGCGAACAAACCUUGAUUGUGAAUAGCGAUCGAGCUGAUUGUAGCGGAAGAGGAAGGGACGGCUAACUCUGUGCCAGCAGCCGCGGUAAUACAGAGGUCCCAAGCGUUGUUCGGAUUCACUGGGCGUAAAGGGUGCGUAGGUGGUCGGUGAAGUUCGGUGUGAAAGCUCGGAGCUCAACUCCGAAGCGACAUUGAAAACUCAUCGGCUGGCGGGUCGGAGGGGAGACUGGAAUUCUCGGUGUAGCAGUGAAAUGCGUAGAUAUCGAGAGGAACACCAGUGGCGAAGGCGAGUCUCUGGACGACUCCUGACACUGAGGCACGAAAGCCAGGGGAGCAAACAG
RNAcentral lists this ribosomal RNA (427 nucleotides) under uncultured bacterium. RNAcentral describes it as "bacterial SSU rRNA". It matches the Rfam family "Bacterial small subunit ribosomal RNA", at positions 355 to 775 of the family's 1533-position model. The record is from RNAcentral.